Molecule: ribosomal RNA, 484 nt
Filed under: uncultured bacterium
Lineage: Bacteria
Description: partial 16S ribosomal RNA
Rfam family: Bacterial small subunit ribosomal RNA
Source: RNAcentral
AUUGAACGCUGGCGGCAGGCCUAACACAUGCAAGUCGAGCGGAUGAAGGGUGCUUGCUCCUGGAUUCAGCGGCGGACGGGUGAGUAAUGCCUAGGAAUCUGCCUGGUAGUGGGGGAUAACGUCCGGAAACGGGCGCUAAUACCGCAUACGUCCUGAGGGAGAAAGUGGGGGAUCUUCGGACCUCACGCUCUCAGAUGAGCCCAGGUCGGAUUAGCUAGUUGGUGGGGUAAAGGCCUACCAAGGCGACGAUCCGUAACUGGUCUGAGAGGAUGAUCAGUCACACUGGAACUGAGACACGGUCCAGACUCCUACGGGAGGCAGCAGUGGGGAAUAUUGGACAAAGGGCGAAAGCCUGAUCCAGCCAUGCCGCGUGUGUGAAGAAGGUCUUCGGAUUGUAAAGCACUUUAAGUUGGGAGGAAGGGCAGUAAGUUAAUACCUUGCUGUUUUGACGUUACCAACAGAAUAAGCACCGGCUAACUUCGUG